Molecule: RNA transcript, 6060 nt
Organism: Pseudopipra pipra
Lineage: Eukaryota; Metazoa; Chordata; Aves; Passeriformes; Pipridae
Gene: SELENOI
Gene name: selenoprotein I
Exons: 12
Source: RefSeq, a predicted model, not a curated record
CACGGGCACGCCGGGUGGGCCGAUGCGGCGGCGGCAGCGCCGGGAGCGGGAGCGCCGGGAACACCGGGAACACCGGGAUAGCAGGGAUCGCCAUGGAGUACGUCAGCCCCGAGCAGCUCGCCGGCUUCAGCAAGUACAAGUACAGCGCCGUGGACAGCAACCCCCUGUCCCUGUACGUGAUGCAUCCCUUCUGGAACACCAUCGUCAAGAUCUUCCCCACCUGGCUGGCCCCAAACUUGAUCACCUUCUCUGGCUUCCUGCUCCUUGUCUUCAACUUCUUCCUCAUGGCGUACUUCGACCCGGACUUCUACGCCUCCGCUCCUGACCACCAGCACGUUCCCAACGGAGUGUGGAUCGUUGUGGGGCUCCUCAACUUCAUGGCCUACACGUUAGAUGGAGUGGACGGGAAGCAGGCGCGCCGGACCAACUCCAGCACCCCCCUGGGGGAGCUCUUCGACCACGGGCUGGACAGCUGGGCCUGCGUGUACUUCGUGGUGACCGUCUACUCCACCUUCGGCCGCGGCUCCACCGGCGUCAGCGUCUUCGUCCUCUACCUCCUGCUCUGGGUGGUCUUGUUCUCCUUCAUCCUCUCCCACUGGGAGAAGUACAACACGGGCAUUCUGUUCCUGCCCUGGGGAUAUGACAUCAGCCAGGUGACCAUUUCAAUUGUCUACAUAGUGACAGCCUUUGUGGGAGUUGAGGCCUGGUAUGCACCUUUCCUGUUUAAUUUCUUAUAUAGAGACCUAUUCACUGCAAUGAUUAUUGCCUGUGCUCUCACUGUGACGCUGCCCAUGAGCCUGUACAACUUCUACAAGGCCUAUAAAAGCAACACCUUGAAGCACCACUCUGUGUAUGAGAUCCUGCUGCCCCUCGUGUCCCCGGUGCUGCUGUUCCUGCUCUGCACCACGUGGAUCUUCCUGUCCCCCUCUGACAUCCUGGAGGUCCAGCCCAGGCUCUUCUACUUCAUGGUUGGAACAGCCUUUGCCAACAUCUCUUGCCAGCUGAUCGUGUGCCAGAUGAGCAGCACGCGGUGCCGGCCCCUGCACUGGAUGCUGCUGCCCAUCGCGGCCGCGCUGCUGCUCGUCGCCUCGGGGCUGGCGGCCCACAGCGAGACGCUGCUGCUCUACCUGCUGACGGCCUUCCUCACCCUGGCACACAUCCACUACGGCGUGCUCGUGGUGAGCCAGCUGAGCAGGCACUUCAACAUCCGGCCCUUCUCCCUCAAGAAGCCCACCCCGGACUGACUAGGGCUGGAGGAGGAGAGAGUGGGCCUGCGCUCCGCAGAGGGACUGUAAAUACCUGCUGCAAACCCCUGUAAAUACUUCGGCCAUCCCACAGACCCAGCCUCCUCCCCCUGGACGGGCACCGGGGCUGGGACACGCCGGGGACACUCCCACCCUCCUCUGGCACCGCAAAGGGGCUUCGCCUGGAGCUGGAGCGGGAGGAGCCUCCAGGUCACUGCUACUGUAUCUGAGACCAGCUGAAUGUUCCCAGGGAAACGUCCAACGCCGGCUCUUGCUCAGGUAAAGCUGGACAGGGGAUGCAAAGGCUUUACCUGAGCAAAGCCCCUCUGGGCCUGUCACCAAAACCAACACGGGGCUCGUUUCUCCCAGGUCGGGGGAACAUCCUGGUGGUGGGGGGAGUUCCUGGCUGUCCCCAGCCCUGCUGGACAGCCCUCGGCCUGGGCUGGUACCUCUGGGGCACGUGGUGACAGCUCUCCCACGUUCUCUCCUGCCUUCCUGCAUUUGGGCAAAUAUUGCACCUUUUUUAAGAGGGGGGAAAGAAAAAAAACCCAGACACACACAAAACUUGUAGUUAAAUCCUGACUGAUGGGGAGGGGGAGGGCUUAAAAAGUCAGGUCUCAAUUUCCUGUAAGAGUGGGACUGUGUCUUCUGCCUGCCCUGCUCGAGCUGUGGGUGCCUGGGACCACAUCUCAGCCACAUCCUUGCCUGUCCGUGUGUGUUCCCAGUCCAGGAAUGGGGUCUGAGCUCCCAGUGGCCACGGGAAGUGUCUGAGCCCACAGGGCUGAGCUCCCACGUCUUCCUCCCUCCCAGCAGGGCUGUGCUGUUGUGGUCGGCUCUGCGGGUCCUUGGCCGCCUGAGCCACCACCCCCAGGCACAGCCCGGCCCUUCCCACCAGCACUUCCACCCGGAGCCUCGUGUUGGUUGUGUGUGCACCUUCAGAGCCCUCACUGGGGGGGGAGGGUGUGGUGGGAACCCUCCCCAGUCCCACUGUCUCCUCGUCCCCAGCGGCCGCGUGUCUCAUCCAGGGAUCUCUUUGUUUACUGUCCGCUUGUCCAAGACGUGUGUGCAUUGAUCUGACUUUUUUAAUUUGUUUUUACGGUUGAGUUCGAGUGGGGUGGUGAAGACUGAAUGCUGAUUUUUCUUUUCCUGUUGGCUUGAUUUAAUGCAGACCUGUGCUUGAAUGAAGAGUGUAGCUUAAAGCCAGGCUCUGGAAAGGCUGCAUCCGGAAGCGAACAAGCACAGCAGAUAGUGCAGGUGUAACUGCCAUGGGAACAAAGUCCUUCAGACUCUGAUUACUGUGCAACGUGGGGCACAACAGCCUGGGCAGGGCGUUUUCCUUCUGCAGGAGGAGGCUCCUGCUGCUCUAGGAAACCUCCAACGUGUGAGUUACAGCAGCGAGUAACUGCUGUCUGAUGGGUUUGCUUUUGUAACUUGGAAUCACUGUCACGCAGGAGACGAGACUUGAAACCCUGAGAUUGAGCUCGUGAGUCCGUGGGGCUCAACUCGGGGCCACUUGGUCACCCCUUGGUCGGCCCAUGGUCACAUGGUGCGGCCUGUGAGGAGCAACUGGGGCCUCCCCCAGGGCUGAGGGAUGAACAGGUACCUCCCGAGGGCUGAGGAACGAACAGGUACCUCCCCCAGGGCUGAGGAGUGAGCAGGUACCUCCUGAGGGCUGAGAAUGAACAGGUACCUCCCCAGGGCUGAGAAUGAACAGGCACCUCCUGAGGGCUGAGAAUGAACAGGUGCCUCCCCCAGGGCUGAGAAUGAACAGGUACCUCCUGAGGGCUGAGGGAUGAACAGGUACCUCCCCCUGGGCUGAGGAACAAACAGGUACCUCCCCCAGGGCUGAGAAUGAACAGGUACCUCCCCCAGGGCUGAGGGAUGAACAGGUACCUCCCCCUGGGCUGAGAAUGAACAGGUACCUCCUCCCUGGGCUGAGGAAUGAGCAGGUACCUCCUCCCUGGGCUGAGAAUGAACAGGUACCUCCCCCAGGGCUGAGGAGUGAGCAGGUACCUCCUGAGGGCUGAGGAACAAACAGGUACCUCCCCCAGGGCUGAGAAUGAACAGGUACCUCCCCCAGGGCUGAGGAGUGAGCAGGUACCUCCUGAGGGCUGAGAAUGAACAGGUACCUCCCCCAGGGCUGAGGGAUGAACAGGUACCUCCUGAGGGCUGAGGAACAAACAGGUACCUCCCCCUGGGCUGAGAAUGAACAGGUACCUCCCGAGGGCUCAGGAACAAACAGGUACCUCCCCCUGGGCUGAGGGAUGAACAGGUACCUCCUGAGGGCUGAGGGAUGAACAGGUACCUCCCCCUGGGCUGAGAAUGAACAGGUACCUCCCCCUGGGCUGAGAAUGAACAGGUAUCUCCCCCCUGGGCUGAGGAACAAACAUGUACCUCCUGAGGGCUGAGAAUGAACAGGUACCUCCUGAGGGCUGCCAUCCAUCGUGGGAGACUCUGGAUGUCCCUGGGAGGCUCUGGAUGUCCCUGGGAGGCUCUGGCUGUCCGUGUGCUCACGUGUCCAUGUGGCUGCGACGUGGCCGGGAAAGGGGGCGGGUGGUUUUCAGAGUUUAUUUAAUAUAAAGUCCCUUCCUCCCAUCCCUUUUACUGAUGUUGUACAGAGAAAAAAAAAAAAAAAAACCCUCAGUGGGCAAAUGAACCAGGCUGCACUUGAGUUUUUGGCUGUUUAAUGUUGUUCACUGAAACAUAAUUAUGGAGAUAAAUUUCAGUGCCCGGGAAUCGGAGGGAACCUUAAACUGGGACACACUUCCCUGGGACACGGUUGGAUGGCAGAGCGUGGGGGUUGGAUGGUUUCCUGUCUGGUUGUGUGUUUGCAGGGCCAGGGGAGGACUGAGCUGUUCCCCCUGGGCUCCCAAACCCGGCCCUUGCCUGGUCCUGGCUCAUCCCACGGGCAUGGCUGGGCCCGCAGGACUGGGAUGCUGCUGGUGCUGGGAGGAGUUGUCUGAACUCAAACCUCAGUGUGUGGGAGAAACAUCUCUCUCCCGAACUGGAAUUGCUUCCUCUGCACAGGCUUUGUCUCUGGGGAGUCCUGGCCUUUUGGUGCCUUAACUGAUUGCACCUUGACACUAAAAAAACAAGUCUCCUUAAAUCAGUGCUGGGUCGGGCUGGUUGUCCCUGGUGCCACCAGAGCAGGGAGGGAGCAGAGCCCACCUCAGUGAUCCGUGCUGCUGAGGAGGGGGAGUUCUCCUUGGGCUGGUGGAAAUCCAGUGAUUUCUGCUCCUGGAUCCUGAGAGGGGAAUGGAAACGAGCAGAGAGCAAAGCCCGUGGGCAGGGUGGGGUGUGGCAGCUGAGGAACAACCCGUUUAUCCAUCACUGGUGUUGGGUCUGAAGGAUAAAUGUGUUCCUGGGUAACAGCUCCUGAGGGGGAUGUCCCAGGGGGGAGGUCACUGGCUGGGCUCUGUCCUCCCCAGGGGAUGUGCUCCUGGGGAUGGAGGGCACCUGUCCUGGCUCCUCAGCUCCUCAGCUGACCUGUGCUGUCUGUUCUUCCAGGGAUAAUGUUAGUUCAGGUUGCUCCAAGCCUUGGACACUUCCAGGGAUCCAGGGGCAGCCACAACUUCUCUGCCCAACCUGGGCCAGGGCCUCCCCACCCUCAUAGCCCAGAAUUCCUUCCCAAUCUCCCAUCUCUCCCUGCCCUCUGGCAGUGGGAAGCCAUUCCCUGUGUCCUGUCCCUCCAUCCCUUGUCCCCAGUCCCUCCCCAGCUCUCCUGGAGCCCCUGGAUGGGACUUGGCAGCCGCCUCUUCUCACAAAGGUCAGGCACCUGAGCCAGGGGCUCUGCCAGAGCCGGGAGCAGCGCUGGGAGCAGGAGCUCCUGAGGCUCUGGGAGCACCUUCCAGCUCCUUCAGCAGGGCUGAUGUCACCUCCUGGCACAUCGAGGACCUGCCACAGGGACUCGGAGCUGUCCUGAUCUCAGGUCAGCUCUGGGAGGCCCCUAAACUCUUCUCCUCCUUGGGAUAGACCUGGACAAUCCCUAGGGAAGCGGUGCUUUUGGGAAACCAGCCUUGGCUGCUCCUGCCUUUGGCAGCUGUGCUGUGUCAGAGCAGGGCCUGAGGUGACACCGAGGCUGCUCUUGGUGGGACAGGGAGAGGACAAGAGGGAACGGCCUCCAGCUGUGCCAGGAGAGGCUCAGGUUGGAUAUUGGAACAAUUCCUUCCUGGAAAGGGCUGCCCAGCCCUGGCACAGCUGCCCAGGGCAGGGGGGAGUCCCCAUCCCUGCAGGGAUUUAAAAGCCCUGUGGAGGUGGCACUUGGGGACAGGGGUCAGGGGUGGCCUGGGCAGUGCUGGGGACAGUUGGGCUCGAAGGACUCUGAGGGUUUUAUCCAACCCAAAUUAUGGGUGGUGACGACAGGAGCUCUUUGCCUGUGGGAAAGGGUCACUGCUGGUGUGUAGAGGACCCUUUGUCCCACCCGGGUGUGGUCAGACCUGGCUUGGGAGGUCUCUGGGCUGGUCUCCAGGGGAGUGGCCGGGGUGUCCCUGCCCCAGGUUCUCAGGAAUUCGCUGCUCACCCUCCCAGUGUCGUUCAUCCUGUCAGAGCUGGGGCCGUGCUCCAGGCUGGACACUUCAAAAUCCACUUCAAAAUCCACCCCCCUCCCUCCCCAUCUCCCAGCAGGGACACUGCCCUGCCCCUGUCCCCGUCAAAGCCCUGAUGGCUCUCCCCGAGCCCCGGCUCCGGGGGUUCAGGUGCUGCAGUGGGUGUGGGGUCCGGUCCGUUCGAUGCUAUUACUGAAAAUAUUUAUUGUGUUUGAACCAAACGAAAAAAACUAUUAAAGAUCAGUAAAGAAUAAAAUUUUCCACGCCUUUUA